This 420-nucleotide long non-coding RNA is filed under the name Numida meleagris (helmeted guineafowl). RNAcentral's name for it is "lncRNA (ENSNMEG00000015896.1)". The record is from RNAcentral. Lineage: Eukaryota; Metazoa; Chordata; Aves; Galliformes; Numididae.
CGAUAAAGAGGCUUAAAGAGGAAUUAUCAGAUGUGCUCGGAAGGAAAGGAGUUUACAACAGACUUUCUGCUUUUGCCAUUGUAGGAUAUGAGAAGAGGUGGUGAGAUCUUGCCAAGACUUUCACAAAACUAUUGCAUGCCUUUUCUGCUACCAGUAAUGUACUGAAGUCAGGGAAAUUGGGAAGGAUGUGUUAAUAAAAUAAAGUGAGCUCCACAGUGGACAUCUUGAGGAAUAUGCAGCACUUCUACCAUUCUUUUCUGAUGACCAUGGGCAUCUAGUCCAGGCACCUUGACUUAUUUGAGUCCCAGUUUACACCAGUUGGGGAGGCCCAGGGACUCCACUGUCCUCUGCUUGCUGGCGAGCUGCAUGUGCUUUGCAGGAGUGCAGGAGUGCAGAAUGAAUGGCAGACACAGAAGUGAG